This 1421-nucleotide ribosomal RNA is filed under the name Salmonella enterica. RNAcentral describes it as "partial 23S ribosomal RNA". It matches the Rfam family "Bacterial large subunit ribosomal RNA", at positions 1398 to 2802 of the family's 2925-position model. The record is from RNAcentral. Lineage: Bacteria; Pseudomonadati; Pseudomonadota; Gammaproteobacteria; Enterobacterales; Enterobacteriaceae.
GAGGCCGAAAGGCGUAGUCGAUGGGAAACGGGUUAAUAUUCCCGUACUUGGUGUUACUGCGAAGGGGGGACGGAGAAGGCUAUGUUGGCCGGGCGACGGUUGUCCCGGUUUAAGCGUGUAGGUGUGUGUUCCAGGUAAAUCCGGUUCACUUUAACACUGAGGCGUGAUGACGAGGCACUACGGUGCUGAAGCAACAAAUGCCCUGCUUCCAGGAAAAGCCUCUAAGCAUCAGGUAACAUCAAAUCGUACCCCAAACCGACACAGGUGGUCAGGUAGAGAAUACCAAGGCGCUUGAGAGAACUCGGGUGAAGGAACUAGGCAAAAUGGUGCCGUAACUUCGGGAGAAGGCACGCUGACACGUAGGUGAAGUGAUUUACUCAUGGAGCUGAAGUCAGUCGAAGAUACCAGCUGGCUGCAACUGUUUAUUAAAAACACAGCACUGUGCAAACACGAAAGUGGACGUAUACGGUGUGACGCCUGCCCGGUGCCGGAAGGUUAAUUGAUGGGGUCAGCGCAAGCGAAGCUCCUGAUCGAAGCCCCGGUAAACGGCGGCCGUAACUAUAACGGUCCUAAGGUAGCGAAAUUCCUUGUCGGGUAAGUUCCGACCUGCACGAAUGGCGUAAUGAUGGCCAGGCUGUCUCCACCCGAGACUCAGUGAAAUUGAACUCGCUGUGAAGAUGCAGUGUACCCGCGGCAAGACGGAAAGACCCCGUGAACCUUUACUAUAGCUUGACACUGAACAUUGAGCCUUGAUGUGUAGGAUAGGUGGGAGGCUUUGAAGUGUGGACGCCAGUCUGCAUGGAGCCGACCUUGAAAUACCACCCUUUAAUGUUUGAUGUUCUAACGUGGACCCGUAAUCCGGGUUGCGGACAGUGUCUGGUGGGUAGUUUGACUGGGGCGGUCUCCUCCUAAAGAGUAACGGAGGAGCACGAAGGUUGGCUAAUCCUGGUCGGACAUCAGGAGGUUAGUGCAAUGGCAUAAGCCAGCUUGACUGCGAGCGUGACGGCGCGAGCAGGUGCGAAAGCAGGUCAUAGUGAUCCGGUGGUUCUGAAUGGAAGGGCCAUCGCUCAACGGAUAAAAGGUACUCCGGGGAUAACAGGCUGAUACCGCCCAAGAGUUCAUAUCGACGGCGGUGUUUGGCACCUCGAUGUCGGCUCAUCACAUCCUGGGGCUGAAGUAGGUCCCAAGGGUAUGGCUGUUCGCCAUUUAAAGUGGUACGCGAGCUGGGUUUAGAACGUCGUGAGACAGUUCGGUCCCUAUCUGCCGUGGGCGCUGGAGAACUGAGGGGGGCUGCUCCUAGUACGAGAGGACCGGAGUGGACGCAUCACUGGUGUUCGGGUUGUCAUGCCAAUGGCACUGCCCGGUAGCUAAAUGCGGAAGAGAUAAGUGCUGAAAGCAUCUAAGCACGAAACUUGCCCCGA